ACAUCCGUCACUUUCAAGCCUAGGUGUAUGAGGUGUGGGGGAGGAAAGCACAGGCAUCCCUGAGAAGCCUGUUGGAGAAUCAGCAUCCUCAGGGGAGAUUCGAGUUUCAAUCGGAGCAAGAAGCAUCCCAGAGGCACUUUAACCAAACCCUGGAGAGAGAAGAAAUAAGCCAUAGGUCAUAAAGAUGGCGAUGGUUAUUUCCUUCCUCAUACCCAUGGUUUGUUACAAUGUGACUUUGCGGUUCUUCCCAUCAGUAAACAGAAGCCAUUUUCUUACUCCUUGCCUCUGGAUGGGCCUUGUGGCUUGCUUUGAGCAAUAGAACGCAUCAGAAGGUGACCUCAUGCCAGUUUCAUGCCUUGGCUUCAGGAGGCCUUGAAUUCUCUGCUGCUCCUUAGGAAUCUUCUGAGCCACUGCUUAACAAGCUCCAACCUCUCCAGCUGGAAGAUGAGGCAUAAUACAGAGGAGAGGCAAACUGUCCUAAAGAGACUACCCUAAGCCAACCAGUCCAGAUGACAGGAGGUUGACCUUGACACAUGUGUAAGCCCAGCCAAGGUCAGCCAAACCUAGUACAGAUCAGAAAAACCAUCUAUCAAUGCUCAGCCCAAAUUUCCAACCCACAGAAAUAUGAAUUAAAUAAAUGAUUGUUGUUUAAACCAUCUUGAUUUUGAGAUGCUCACACGACUGACAGCUGAUUGAACUGCCAUCUGGCUACUUACCAGGUUUAAAAAUCACAAUUAUGUCUGCAUAUGCACACAAUGCUAACUCUUUUGGAUGGGCCUUUUCUCAUAGGAUUCUCUUUCUCAAACACAGUUGAAUUAUCUUUUUAUUAUGUUUUCUCCAUCCAGUUUCUAAUUGUGGGAUCUUAUUUGUGGGAUCUAAAAAAUUGAACUCAUGGACAUAGAGAGCAGAAUGAUGGUUACCAGAGGCUGGGAAGGGUAGUGGGGGGAUGUGAGGCAGUAGGGAUAAUGAAUGGGUAUAAAAAAUAAAAAGAAUGAAUAAGACCUACUAUUUGAUAGCACAACAGGGUAGCUGCAGUCAAUACUAAUUUAGUUGUACAUUUUAAAAUAACUAAAAGAGUGUAAUGGGAUUGUUUGUAAAACAAAGGAUAAAUGCUUGAGGGGGUGGAUACCCCAUUUUCCAUGAUGUGAUUAUUUUACAAUGCAUGCCUGUUUCAAAACAUCUCAUGUACCCUGUAAAUAUAUACACCUACUAUGUAUCCACAAAAAUUAAUUUUUUUUGAAAAAGAAUGCAGCCAUGGCAACACCUUGAUUAUAAUAAACUGGUGAGACCCGAAUAGUGUUUCUGACUAUUCGGACUGUUUAAGUCACAUAAUCUUAGGUUGUUACGGCAGGAGUAGAAACCAAAUAUAGUAGGGAAAAAGGAAUCUAUUAAAUGUUAAGAUAACAAAUGUUACAAUAUUUUUUGAGUUUAAUCUUUAGAUCAUACUUCAAAAUUUAACAACAGUGACCAGAUUCAAUUUUUGCAAGGAACUGAUUUCCAUGUCACAAUUCUAUUCUUUCCCUUGUAUAUCACUUUUCAUCAAAUUAAAGUUUAAUAAUUGUAGAAUACAUUAGGAAAAUGUCUGCAUACUGGCAUUCUGAAGGCUUUAUAGUAUGACUUACAAAAUUGUUUGUGGAUAUAUGCCCAGUGUAUAUAUCCACAAAAUGUCUAUCAUUUAUUUGUGGGCUCCAAAAUAAAUGAUAUAUACAAAUAAGAGCAGAUAUUUUGUGUCUGUGUUUAUAUACACAGUAUAUAAACUACAUACAUACAGUGCUUAUGAAGAUGAAGUCAGUUAUCAGCUGUGGGGACGGGGACAUUUCUGAGUUUGACUGUGUAGAGAUAAAUUAUGAUUUGAAAUUACGUGAGAGCUGCAUGUCAGUGCAUGGUCUUUGUUUUAAUUCUCUGGAAUUCAAAGUAGCUAAUAUGCUCUCUAAACAAUGCAAUGUUUCUUCUCUAUAUUAUGCUUUGAAAAUUGGUUUAUUCCUCACAAGUGACAUAAUUUGAAGACAGAUCGAUUUUUUUUUCUGUUUGUAGAUGUUGAAUCAUUCUUAAUUAAAUAGAAAGAAUUAUUCAUCAAGCUUUCUUUUUCAUUUCUGCAUACUCUGGGAUUUAUGUUUCAGAAUAUCUCACUUCUAUUUUAUGUAAAUGACCUUC
This 2154-nucleotide long non-coding RNA is filed under the name Homo sapiens (human). Its description in RNAcentral is "HSALNT0394945". Lineage: Eukaryota; Metazoa; Chordata; Mammalia; Primates; Hominidae. The record is from RNAcentral.